AGAGUUUGAUCAUGGCUCAGAUUGAACGCUGGCGGCAUGCCUUACACAUGCAAGUCGAACGGUAACAGGUUAAGCUGACGAGUGGCGAACGGGUGAGUAAUAUAUCGGAACGUGCCCAGUCGUGGGGGAUAACGCAGCGAAAGCUGUGCUAAUACCGCAUACGAUCUAUGGAUGAAAGCGGGGGAUCGCAAGACCUCGCGCGAUUGGAGCGGCCGAUAUCAGAUUAGCUAGUUGGUGGGGUAAAAGCCCACCAAGGCGACGAUCUGUAGCUGGUCUGAGAGGACGACCAGCCACACUGGAACUGAGACACGGUCCAGACUCCUACGGGAGGCAGCAGUGGGGAAUUUUGGACAAUGGGCGCAAGCCUGAUCCAGCAAUGCCGCGUGCAGGAUGAAGGCCUUCGGGUUGUAAACUGCUUUUGUACGGAGCGGAACGGUCUUCUCUAAUACAGAGGGCUAAUGACGGUACCGUAAGAAUAAGCACCGGCUAACUACGUGCCAGCAGCCGCGGUAAUACGUAGGGUGCGAGCGUUAAUCGGAAUUACUGGGCGUAAAGCGUGCGCAGGCGGUUAUAUAAGACAGAUGUGAAAUCCCCGGGCUCAACCUGGGACCUGCAUUUGUGACUGUAUAGCUAGAGUACGGUAGAGGGGGAUGGAAUUCCGCGUGUAGCAGUGAAAUGCGUAGAUAUGCGGAGGAACACCGAUGGCGAAGGCAAUCCCCUGGACCUGUACUGACGCUCAUGCAC
Molecule: ribosomal RNA, 744 nt
Filed under: uncultured bacterium
Lineage: Bacteria
Description: bacterial SSU rRNA
Rfam family: Bacterial small subunit ribosomal RNA
Source: RNAcentral